Molecule: ribosomal RNA, 505 nt
Filed under: uncultured bacterium
Lineage: Bacteria
Description: partial 16S ribosomal RNA
Rfam family: Bacterial small subunit ribosomal RNA
Source: RNAcentral
GACGAACGCUGGCGGCGUGCCUAAUACAUGCAAGUAGAACGCACAGUUUAUACCGUAGCUUGCUACACCAUAAACUGUGAGUUGCGAACGGGUGAGUAACGCGUAGGUAACCUGCCUGGUAGCGGGGGAUAACUAUUGGAAACGAUAGCUAAUACCGCAUAAUAUUGAUUAUUGCAUGAUAAUUGAUUGAAAGAUGCUAUUGCAUCACUACCAGAUGGACCUGCGUUGUAUUAGCUAGUAGGUGAGGUAACGGCUCACCUAGGCGACGAUACAUAGCCGACCAGGGAGGGUGAUCGGCCACACUGGGACUGAGACACGGCCCAGACGCCUACGGGAGGCAGCAGUAGGGAAUCUUCGGCAAUGGACGAAAGUCUGACCGAGAAACGCCGCGUGAGUGAAGAAGGUUUUCGGAUCGUAAAGCUCUGUUGUAAGAGAAGUACGGGUGUGAGAGUGGAAAGUUCACACUGUGACGGUAUCUUACCAGAGAGGGACGGCUAACUACGUG